ACUCCUACGGGAGGCAGCAGUGGGGAAUAUUGCACAAUGGAGGAAACUCUGAUGCAGCAACGCCGCGUGGAGGAUGACACUUUUCGGAGCGUAAACUCCUUUAUAUAGGAAGAUAAUGACGGUACUAUAUGAAUAAGCACCGGCUAACUCCGUGCCAGCAGCCGCGGUAAUACGGAGGUGCAAGCGUUACUCGGAAUCACUGGGCGUAAAGAGCGUGUAGGCGGGUUAUUAAGUCAGAAGUGAAAUCCUAUGGCUCAACCAUAGAACUGCUUUUGAAACUGGUAACCUAGAGUAUGGGGAGAGGUAGAUGGAAUUUCUGGUGUAGGGUAAAAUCCGUAGAGAUCAGAAGGAAUACCGAUUGCGAAGGCGAUCUACUGGAACAUUACUGACGCUGAGACGCGAAAGCGUGGGAGCAAACAGGAUUAGAUACCCUGGUAGACUGUCA
Molecule: ribosomal RNA, 445 nt
Filed under: uncultured bacterium
Lineage: Bacteria
Description: bacterial SSU rRNA
Rfam family: Bacterial small subunit ribosomal RNA
Source: RNAcentral